This 471-nucleotide ribosomal RNA is filed under the name uncultured Alphaproteobacteria bacterium. RNAcentral's name for it is "bacterial SSU rRNA". It matches the Rfam family "Bacterial small subunit ribosomal RNA", at positions 9 to 524 of the family's 1533-position model. The record is from RNAcentral. Lineage: Bacteria; Pseudomonadati; Pseudomonadota; Alphaproteobacteria.
GAGUUUGAUCCUGGCUCAGAACGAACGCUGGCGGCAGGCCUAACACAUGCAAGUCGAACGCGUGUAGCAAUACACGAGUGGCGCACGGGUGAGUAACACGUGGGAAUCAACCCAGAGGUUCGGAAUAACCGCGGGAAACUGCGGCUAAUACCGGAUAUCCCCUACGGGGGAAAGAUUUAUCGCCUUUGGACGAGCCCGCGUCCGAUUAGCUAGUUGGUGAGGUAACGGCUCACCAAGGCUACGAUCGGUAGCUGGUCUGAGAGGAUGACCAGCCACACUGGAACUGAGAUACGGUCCAGACUCCUACGGGAGGCAGCAGUGGGGAAUAUUGGGCAAUGGAGGCAACUCUGACCCAGCCAUGCCGCGUGGGUGACGAAGGUCUUCGGAUUGUAAAGCCCUUUCGGCGGGGACGAUGAUGACGGUACCCGCAGAAGAAGCCCCGGCUAACUUCGUGCCAGCAGCCGCAGUAAU